RNAcentral lists this ribosomal RNA (229 nucleotides) under uncultured bacterium. RNAcentral describes it as "partial 16S ribosomal RNA". It matches the Rfam family "Bacterial small subunit ribosomal RNA", at positions 91 to 334 of the family's 1533-position model. The record is from RNAcentral.
UAAAGUGGCGACCGGGUGAGUAACACGUGACUAACCUACCUUCAAGUGGGGGAUAACCUCGGGAAGCCGAGGCUAAUACCGCAUAAUAUCGCAAGAUCAAAGCAGCAAUGCGCUGGAAGAGGGGGUCGCGGCUGAUUAGCCAGUUGGCGGGGUAACGGCCCACCAAAGCGAAGAUCGGUAGCCGGCCUGAGAGGGCGCACGGCCACACUGGAACUGAAACACGGUCCAG